Molecule: ribosomal RNA, 253 nt
Filed under: uncultured bacterium
Lineage: Bacteria
Description: partial 16S ribosomal RNA
Rfam family: Bacterial small subunit ribosomal RNA
Source: RNAcentral
UACGUAGGGGGCGAGCGUUGUCCGGAUUUAUUGGGCGUAAAGAGCUCGUAGGCGGUCCGGUAAGUCAGCUGUGAAAGUCAAGGGCUCAACCCUUGAAUGCCGGUUGAUACUGUCGGGCUAGAGUCCGGAAGAGGCGAGUGGAAUUCCCGGUGUAGCGGUGAAAUGCGCAGAUAUCGGGAGGAACACCAAUGGCGAAGGCAGCUCGCUGGGACGGUACUGACGCUGAGACGCGAAAGCGUGGGGAGCAAACAGG